UACGAAGGGGGCUAGCGUUGCUCGGAAUUACUGGGCGUAAAGGGCGCGUAGGCGGACAUUUAAGUCAGAGGUGAAAGCCCAGGGCUCAACCUUGGAACUGCCUUUGAUACUGGGUGUCUAGAGUGCGGGAGAGGUGUGUGGAACUCCGAGUGUAGAGGUGAAAUUCGUAGAUAUUCGGAAGAACACCAGUGGCGAAGGCGACACACUGGCCCGUAACUGACGCUGAGGCGCGAAAGCGUGGGGAGCAAACAGG
This 253-nucleotide ribosomal RNA is filed under the name uncultured Phenylobacterium sp. RNAcentral's name for it is "partial 16S ribosomal RNA". It matches the Rfam family "Bacterial small subunit ribosomal RNA", at positions 524 to 776 of the family's 1533-position model. Lineage: Bacteria; Pseudomonadati; Pseudomonadota; Alphaproteobacteria; Caulobacterales; Caulobacteraceae. The record is from RNAcentral.